UACGUAGGGUGCAAGCGUUGUCCGGAAUUAUUGGGCGUAAAGAGCUCGUAGGCGGUCUGUCGCGUCGGAUGUGAAAACCCAGGGCUCAACCCUGGGCCUGCAUUCGAUACGGGCAGGCUAGAGUUCGGUAGGGGAGACUGGAAUUCCUGGUGUAGCGGUGAAAUGCGCAGAUAUCAGGAGGAACACCGGUGGCGAAGGCGGGUCUCUGGGCCGAUACUGACGCUGAGGAGCGAAAGCGUGGGGAGCGAACAGG
This 253-nucleotide ribosomal RNA is filed under the name uncultured bacterium. RNAcentral's name for it is "partial 16S ribosomal RNA". It matches the Rfam family "Bacterial small subunit ribosomal RNA", at positions 524 to 776 of the family's 1533-position model. The record is from RNAcentral.